Molecule: long non-coding RNA, 1170 nt
Filed under: Arabidopsis lyrata
Lineage: Eukaryota; Viridiplantae; Streptophyta; Magnoliopsida; Brassicales; Brassicaceae
Description: long non-coding RNA (ALYR_LNC002270)
Source: RNAcentral
CUUGUUUCCUUUAUGGACUCGGGCAGCAAGAGCCGGAAUAUAAUGCCCAGCAUAUGACUCUCCAGUAAUGUAAAAGUCGUUUUUUGCCAACUUAGGGUGCUCUGCGAAGAAAGCCUGAGGUAAACAUCAGCAAACAUAAUCAAGAUCUUGUUACAGCUAAGCAAACAUAGGCAGAUUCCCAUUUUUUGAAACUCAAGAAAACGAAAACAGUCUAAGUGUCUAACAGAGGUGUUUAUCCAAUUCAUAGUUUGAAAGCAGAAAAGUGAAGAAGAAAAAGGAAUUGAAGAGAAGAUCCAGUGACCAAACCUGUAGAAAAUCAUAAAGAUCAUUGCUAACUCCAGUUUCGUCGUGACGGAUAUCACUUUUAUCUGUCGUGUAGCUGAAACCAGUUCCAACAGGCUGAUCAACAUAUAGAAGAUUGGAAACCUGCAAGACAAAUUCUCAAUCAACUCUCAUGUGCAAAAAUAGAGAGCAUUAAGGCGGUUUGGGAAAUCGUUAACAAGGAUUAUAAUAGAAAGUAAUUAUACCUGAUCCCAUCCAUACUCAUUCCAAGCAAGAGACAUGUUACUAGUGAUCUUGAAAGGACCGUUCUCAUAGAACAUAGCCAACUCACUGCUGCAUCCAGGCCCUCCCGUCAACCAAAUCACAACAGGAGCAUCCUUCUUGUUGCGUGAUUCGAAGAAGAAGUAGAACAUGCUAACACACACCAAGCGAACAAGUAAAAAACAAAGCAAAUCAACAGUACUUUGAGAUUCUAAUUAGAAAAAACGUCACCAAAAGUUCAAUGUUCAAAUCAAACUAAAACACAACCUAGUCAAGAGCUAGCUGCAAAUUGUAAACGAACCAUAACAAAUCAGAUGCUGAAUCUUCGCGAACACAAAUGUACAGAUGCAUAAACCAAAAUCUAGAGUUAGAUAUAAACCUUGCGCCACGAGAUUUUGGGAGCUUGUAAUAACCAGCAUGAUGACCUAAAUCUUCGACAGUUGCGCCACCAUUAUCGGCAAGUAUAUUCGGGAAUACGAACUUCCGUUCAACAAUCCCCGAUCCCUCCGCGGCAGUGAGAGGCAAAUCAGCGACAUCGAUCACAUUCAGAUCCUGCUGCGGGAAAAGGUUUAGCUCCCGGAUCAGCUUCUCCGCGCGCGUUGACGGCAAGUUUGAUCUCUCAAAGGU